Polypterus senegalus (gray bichir) is the source of this 375-nucleotide long non-coding RNA. RefSeq lists it as uncharacterized. Lineage: Eukaryota; Metazoa; Chordata; Cladistia; Polypteriformes; Polypteridae. The record is from RefSeq and is a predicted model, not a curated record. The transcript is spliced from 4 exons.
GCGAAGGGUUUAGCUGCUGCUCGCAAUACCUAUGGUUCAGACACGGAACGCCCUUCAUAUCACGGAAUGCCCCUAAUAUCAGUCACGGAACGCCCUCUAAUGUCAGUUUCGAUAUAUCCAUCAUUGUUUUUGUCGGCGCUCGAAGGACUGGUGGACGUUAAAUAAAUCUUUAUGAAAGCUUUUUGUGGAAAAAAGAACAAGACAGAGUGAGUUGGAAAUCAAGAUGACAGAAGACGUGCCAUAAAUUAGAAGAUGGUGGUGUCCUCUCUUACUUUGGAAAGCCAGCAUUAAAGACAGCCGUCUUCAGUUUGCACACGGGAAGAAGGACAUUCUGUGUACCAAAGCUGCUCCUGUUAGGGGUUGCCACAACGGAUC